RNAcentral lists this ribosomal RNA (347 nucleotides) under Armadillo officinalis (oak-woodland pillbug). RNAcentral's name for it is "partial large subunit ribosomal RNA". It matches the Rfam family "Bacterial large subunit ribosomal RNA", at positions 1949 to 2562 of the family's 2925-position model. Lineage: Eukaryota; Metazoa; Arthropoda; Malacostraca; Isopoda; Armadillidae. The record is from RNAcentral.
UUCUAAGGUAGCAUAAUCAUUUGUUAUCUAAAUGAUAACUAGUAUGAAUGGUCUGACGAGAAAAUAACUUUCUAAAAAGAAAUAAUAAAAAUUUAUCUUAAAGUAAAAAAGCUUUAAAAACUUAGAAAGACGAGAAGACCCUAGAACCUGUCUAUCUGCAUAGUUUGUUGGGGUGACAUUAUUUUAAAACAAAUAACUAUUUUAACUCAUUAAGAGACUUAACCUAUCUUUUAAAAAAAAGAAAAAGGUACUCUAGGGAUAACAGCAUAAUCUUCUUUUAGAGCCCUAAUCGACAAGAAAGAUUUUGACCUCGAUGUUGAAUUGAUAUUCCUUCUUAAAGCAGAAUU